Long non-coding RNA from Alosa sapidissima (American shad), 876 nucleotides. RefSeq lists it as uncharacterized. Lineage: Eukaryota; Metazoa; Chordata; Actinopteri; Clupeiformes; Clupeidae. The transcript is spliced from 4 exons. The record is from RefSeq and is a predicted model, not a curated record.
GGAAAUCUUUAUCCAUAGAGUGGUGUGAAUCAAUCACUGAUAUCAAACCAAUUAUGCUGCCUGGAACCAUUGUGGCUCCAGCAGUUAACCUGGAUUGAGUUGUAUUAGACAGUAGGCUGCCCAAGUGGUCCAGGCUUUAUGGAUGGACUAAGACAAGUAAAAGUAAUCCUCCAGUAUCAUAGUAGGCACGGCUGGACUGAUGAGCUUGGUGGUGUGUUAACUGAUGUGAUUAGUCCAGCAUCCACACAGGCAGAAGGACAGUGAGCUGGAGCUGUUUUAGUGUCUCCAGGCCCUUGGCCCCAGCUACUGAACACCCCAUCGAUUUGCUUAACACAGACAAAGCAGCUACAACAGCCCCGACCUCCGCGCUUCCCAUCAGGCCUGGUUCACGUCCCUGGGAGUGUCAGCGAUAGUGGCAUGGGUAUCCACGCCAUGAUGAGACAACCUUUUCCCAGCGUUCUUUACUGACACAUGCUCCCCUGAGACAGUCAGCCGUGUACUUCACAUGACACUUACUCAAGGUGAAGCAUUAGCGAGUCCUGAAGAUGGCCGUUGAUGAACAGUGUGCCUCGGUAAUGACGUGUGGUGCAGACGAGCUCCAAAGGUCGCUAAUUACGGAGUGCUGCAGGUGUUUCCAGCUGAUGAGUUUCCCUGAGUGAGUGGGAAAUCACCGGCUAGAGGCCCGCUGCGUCUCAUUCAGCUGACCGCCAGAGACCCCCAGGGGAAACCUGUGCACUGAUCACACUUCACAUUAGGCUCAUUGUGAUUUCAUGAGCUGUCUAAUCUUGGGCUUUUUUGUAAUCUUUGGGCUUUUUUGUAAUCUUUGGGCUUUUUUGUAAUCUUUGGGCUUUUUUGUAAUCUUGGGCUUUUUUGUAA